RNAcentral lists this long non-coding RNA (1497 nucleotides) under Bemisia tabaci. RNAcentral's name for it is "lncRNA ENSASIAIIG013223". The record is from RNAcentral. Lineage: Eukaryota; Metazoa; Arthropoda; Insecta; Hemiptera; Aleyrodidae.
CGCCAAAUUAGGCGCUUCGUUUGUAAAUCGAGAAGAAAUACGGGAUAAGUUCCGAAAAAUUCCGAAAAAUCCUAAAUAUUCCGGAAAUUCUCCGAUUUGAAAAAGUUCCGGGAAAUUCUCCGAAAUUCGAAAAAAGUUCCGAAUCCGGAGAAUUCUCCGGGAAACGGGAGCCCUGCGAGGAUCUAGAAACUUCUAUGAGCACUGAGUGAUAAGCCUAAAUAGGCUGUGGUGCAUGGAAAUAUAAACAGGAGGACCCAAUCGUCGGUUUAGUUCACUACACCCUCUGCCAGGCAGCGCUGAUGUCAGCGCUAACUGGAGUUGGGGGUCCUUAUUUAUUCUUUUGGUCCAUGCUUUUGGUCCGAUGAUCCGCGUCCGCGUUCCGCGUACAACGUUGAGGAAUUUUCAGGAUGCAACUUGAUGGUGAAGGAGCCGUUAGCCGUUACCUCGUUGUUACAGCCAGAGACGAUGUUGGUCUAUUUUUCAAGUCUCUCUUCAAAUGCAGCCUCAAAAAUAAAUGUUUUUGAAGGGCUUCCUGCACUCCAGCUUGCUCCCUCCUUCUGGAUUUCUUACAUUCUGGAUUAAGAAAGCGGCUACUAUUCUAUGACAUGGCUGUCAGUUUCUCAUCUGAGCAGUCAUCCGAUAGGAAAUUAGCAGCGACUAAAAAUCAUCUGGUUUUGAGAAAUUCACCAUGAAUUGCCUCAAAGCAACAUCAUCAAAAGAAGUUGAAGUGUAUUCAGAGAAAAUAAACAUAAGUAGCAGCUAUUGUUUUCCUAAAAAUUUUAUGUCCGACCGGAAAAUUUUUAAAAAAUUUAAAGUGGUGUGAAGUUCGAUUAGUUACCUUUAAUAUGCAUUGCUCUAAUCUAAAGGAGAUAAUAAAUUAAAGUGAAAGUGUUGUGUUCAAAGUAUCAUGAAUAGCAUCAUUGGUGUUUUUCUUCAGGUUUUAUUUUGAUGAAGGAUCAGUUGAAUUUGGUGAGUCAUAUCUAUUAUAUUUUCCUUUUGCAUGCUAUUUUGCCACAGGAAACUGUCAAUAAAUUAAAUAAAAUUACCUAAUGCCCUUGUAAUUGAAUCAAUUCUGCAUUUUUUCCCUUCGGUUUGUUGGCUUAAUGAGUCUGAAGGAUGUAGGUACGAAUUUAUUCUGAGAAAUAAGCCUGAAACGGGUGGUGUAUAUCACCCUGUUAAAUUUCACCAUAAAGUAUUGCAGCUAACAGGCCUCAUUCCGACAUUAAAGCUGCAGUAAUAUUAAGAAAAAGAAGAUAAGGAAGGAGCAAAUGGAACUUUUCAGCUCUGAAGUGAUGUAAGCUUCAAUUGAUAAUCAAUGCAUGAAUAAAUCGUCACCUUUCGGCCAAAGUAUCACAAGAUCCAUGUGAUGUUCAAAAAUUUCCGCCGCCAUUUGAUUUUUUUACAUAGAAAUUGUUCGACAAAGCUGUCGAAAAAUUUCACUAAAUUUUCUUAGUGCUGCUGAUAAAAAUCAGUGAAAUGUUCAAACAGAUUCAACGA